AACGAACGCUGGCGGCAGGCUUAACACAUGCAAGUCGAACGCACCUUUCGGGGUGAGUGGCAGACGGGUGAGUAACGCGUGGGAAUCUACCCUUCUCUACGGGAUAGCUCCGGGAAACUGGAAUUAAUACCGUAUACGUCAUGAGGGAGAAAGAUUUAUCGGGGAAGGAUGAGCCCGCGUUGGAUUAGCUAGUUGGUGGGGUAAAGGCCUACCAAGGCGACGAUCCAUAGCUGGUCUAAGAGGAUGAUCAGCCACAUUGGGACUGAGACACGGCCCAAACUCCUACGGGAGGCAGCAGUGGGGAAUAUUGGACAAUGGGCGCAAGCCUGAUCCAGCCAUGCCGCGUGAGUGAUGAAGGCCCUAGGGUUGUAAAGCUCUUUCAGUGGGGACGAUAAUGACGGUACCCACAGAAGAAGCCCCGGCUAACUUCGUGCCAGCAGCCGCCGUAA
Molecule: ribosomal RNA, 449 nt
Filed under: uncultured bacterium
Lineage: Bacteria
Description: partial 16S ribosomal RNA
Rfam family: Bacterial small subunit ribosomal RNA
Source: RNAcentral